AUACCUUUCUCGGUCUUUUGGCUAAGAUCAAGUGUAGUAUCUGUUCUUAUCAGUUUAAUAUCUGAUACGUGGGACAUUGUCCCACAUGAUAUUAAAUUUAUUUUUUUAGGGGAAGGGCCCAUCACAAUAGCUUGCCAUUGGGGUACUUGUGCGGCACCCUUGAGUUGCACUACUGCUUGGGCCUGGUGCACCCCUC
Molecule: small nuclear RNA, 196 nt
Filed under: Vitis vinifera (wine grape)
Lineage: Eukaryota; Viridiplantae; Streptophyta; Magnoliopsida; Vitales; Vitaceae
Description: U2 spliceosomal RNA
Rfam family: U2 spliceosomal RNA
About the family: U2 is a small nuclear RNA (snRNA) component of the spliceosome (involved in pre-mRNA splicing).
Source: Rfam by way of RNAcentral